This 334-nucleotide ribosomal RNA is filed under the name uncultured eukaryote. Its description in RNAcentral is "partial 18S ribosomal RNA". It matches the Rfam family "Eukaryotic small subunit ribosomal RNA", at positions 1470 to 1796 of the family's 1831-position model. The record is from RNAcentral.
CCCUUAGAUGUCCGGGGCCGCACGCGCGCUACACUGAAGGAAUCAGCGUGGCUUUCUACCUGACCCGAAAGGGUUGGGAAACCCGUUGAAUCUCCUUCGUGAUAGGGAUUGGGGCUUGAAAUUGUUCCCCAUGAACGAGGAAUUCCCAGUAAGCGCGAGUCAUAAGCUCGCGUUGAUUACGUCCCUGCCCUUUGUACACACCGCCCGUCGCUACUACCGAUUGAACGGUUUAGUGAGGGCCUCGGAUUGGUCUCGGCCCGCUCUUUACCGGGCGGCGCCGUUGGUCGAGAAGACGCUCGAACUUGAUCGUUUAGAGGAAGUAAAAGUCGUAACA